GUCUGUUGAUAUGGUUAUAUUUAUAAAUUUACUGUUCACAAAAUUUUGAAAUACUAAGGCUUUUUCUACCUCAGGCAUAGAUAACCUUAGCUAAAUUUGGCAAUACUUUUAGGAAUUUUGGUCCUCCAUGCUCUUCAACUUCGUACUUUAUUUGGCCUUUUUAACUUUUUUGGAUUCGAGCGUCACUGAUGAGUCUUGCGUCUGGCGUAUAUACAAAAUUUAGUCCUGGUAUCUAUGAUGAGUUUAUUUCAUACAAAAACGAUGAAAUACCGAGUACUUAUCCAUUUUUCCCUCAAUUUCUUCAAAUUUGUUUCAAACCAUUUUACACUUUCCAUCAGAGUAGCAACUUUUUCUAAACACAAUCUAAGGAAUAUAUGGUUUCGUUUCACUUCGUUUGUAAUUCCUUAAAGAGUUUCAUUACAAACUUUGCCUCUCUUAAGGCGGCCAUUUUGAAUUUUUGAUGAUUCGGUACUUUCACAGGAACAUAUUUGGUUUCAAUUAAUACAGUAAAAGUGCAGUGAUUCUUGAGGCUUUUUUUUAAUAUAUUUAGUCAAUCAGAUUUCAGAAAAGAUAUAGAAGUCAUGGUUGUGGACAACUUGGCACCACAUUAUUAACAAACGGAAAGGGCCUUGAAAGGUUUUCAGCAGGAUUCAAAUGUCAAAAACUAACAGCCUGACGAUCCAUAUCUAAUGCCGGUUUAGGCAUUUUUGAACGAAAUCAUAUAAAGUACCAUUAAAAAGCUUGUUCCUACAUGUUUGUAGGUAAUGAUGCAACCCGACAAUACAGUAUUGUAUAACAAUAUUUUAUUGAGGCAAGCUUUUGAUCAACAAAAUACGAAAAAAUCAAUGUUUCGUCAUACUUACUUUUUUUAAAACUUCAAACCUUUUUAUACUGCAGUUUUAAACGAAAGUCAAUAACUUAACAGAUAUUGCAUUUUCAUUAAUGUGAUAAACAUCACUGGUGGAAAUGUUGGAAGAGAGGUAUUCAUAAAUUCAAAUCAUGUUUGAAUCUUCCAUUGAAGAAUGGUGGCUGACAAUAGAAAAUGAUCUGUUAUUAUACACUGAAGUACUUUUGAAAGAAGAACAAUUUUCAAUAGCUAGAACGAGCUACAGGUGUGACAAUGUCAGUAUGUCACUUAAUCAUAAAACCAUUUUUUUAAC
This 1160-nucleotide long non-coding RNA is filed under the name Mytilus galloprovincialis (Mediterranean mussel). The record is from RNAcentral. Lineage: Eukaryota; Metazoa; Mollusca; Bivalvia; Mytilida; Mytilidae.